RNAcentral lists this ribosomal RNA (229 nucleotides) under uncultured bacterium. RNAcentral describes it as "partial 16S ribosomal RNA". It matches the Rfam family "Bacterial small subunit ribosomal RNA", at positions 568 to 796 of the family's 1533-position model. The record is from RNAcentral.
UCCGUAGGUGGAUAAUUAAGUCAGAGGUGAAAUCCUGCAGCUCAACUGUAGAAUUGCCUUUGAUACUGGUUAUCUUGAGUCAUUAUGAAGUGGUUAGAAUGUGUAGUGUAGCGGUGAAAUGCAUAGAUAUUACACAGAAUACCGAUUGCGAAGGCAGAUCACUAAUAAUGUACUGACACUGAGGGACGAAAGCGUGGGGAGCGAACAGGAUUAGAUACCCUGGUAGUUC